RNAcentral lists this ribosomal RNA (497 nucleotides) under uncultured bacterium. Its description in RNAcentral is "partial 16S ribosomal RNA". It matches the Rfam family "Bacterial small subunit ribosomal RNA", at positions 28 to 507 of the family's 1533-position model. The record is from RNAcentral.
GAUGAACGCUGGCGGCGUGCCUAAUACAUGCAAGUCGAGCGAACAGACGAGGAGCUUGCUCCUCUGACGUUAGCGGCGGACGGGUGAGUAACACGUGGAUAACCUACCUAUAAGACUGGGAUCACUUCGGGAAAGCGGAUCUAACACCGGAUAAUAUAUUGAACCGCAUGGUUCAAUAGUGAAAGACGGUUUUGCUGUACCUUAUAGAUGGUUCCGCGCCGCAUUAGCUAGUUGGUACGGUAACGGCUUACCAAGGCAACGAUGCGUAGCCGACCGGAGAGGGGGAUCGGCCACACUGGAACGGAGACGCGGUCCAGACUCCUACGGGAGGCAGCAGUAGGGAAUCUUCCGCAAUGGGCGAAAGCCUGACGGAGCAACGCCGCGUGAGUGAUGAAGGUCUUCGGAUCGUAAAACUCUGUUAUGAGGGAAGAACAAAUGUGUAAGUAACUAUGCACGUCUUGACGGUACCUAAUCAGAAAGCCACGGCUAACUACGUG